UUUUAUUAUUACUCCAUUAUCCAAAUUUUUGUGGAAAAAAUUCAUAUCAACAAAGGUUAAUAGCUAUUGGGAAAAACGCAUUAACGAUGAAUCUAAGUUAUAUCCAACACUAUCAUAUCUGGAAAUGAGCUUAUAAGAUAGGACAAUGUCAUCCUAUAGCAAGAACUGUAGAUGCAAACAUCAGAGAUAUUGCAAAGAUACCAGUUCGAUUAAAAAUUGCAACUGGCACAUACAUUCUCCAAACAAAUAGAGCCGCUUUUAAUCAAAACAAAAUAGAUGUUGUCUGUAUGCUAUGCAAAUGUAGUGAAGAGACACUUGCUCAUUUUCUGCUAGGCUGUACCCGGCUUGAAUAUGUACGUAAAGAUAUUCUUGAAAAGAUCACCAAGACUUGUAGCUUGCUAUUUGCUAAAUAUAAUCUGGCUGUAGAAGUAGAUCUUCUCACUGUCGUAGUGAAUCCUUAUGCCUACUGUAUCACCUCG
Molecule: long non-coding RNA, 479 nt
Filed under: Mytilus galloprovincialis (Mediterranean mussel)
Lineage: Eukaryota; Metazoa; Mollusca; Bivalvia; Mytilida; Mytilidae
Source: RNAcentral